GUACUUUGUUACUUAUCUUUAAUUAGUUGAUAUUGAAUAGGAUAAAGAUUAAUAACACUUUUUUCAGUUAAAAAAAAUUCAUUUACAGGUAUCAUGUUCCAAAUAUUGUCAAUAUAAAAACGAAAGAGACAGACUUGCCUGCGUUUUAUUUUGAUCCGUUAAUCAAUCCUAUCGCACAGAAAACCUCAGUGCAGAGUUACACAUCUAAUGUGGUUUCCAACGUGAGAACAUUGCUUUAUAUAAUUUAAAAUACAACAAUUCACAUCAAGUACGUCUGUUUCAAUAUCUACAAUGUUUUUGUUAUAAUUCUCUCUGAAGAUGGCAGAGCCACAAAAUGAAGGAGAUGAGGAAUUUUUUCUUUUUGAAGAUGUUGUACUUCUUCAAGAAAUUCUUUUCACGAACAACACGGCAAACAGUAUAGCCCUGCUUUGGGCCACGAGGUCAUUUAGCACGCGAUCAGGAAGAAUACUGAGAGCAAUCGCUGUACCUUGUAUCGCGGUAAGCCCUGGUAUCGUGAACUGUUCACGUGGGCAGUCAGUGAAAGCUCGAGAAAGAAGCGUUACCUGUUUCGGCCUUUUAAAGCGAUAAAGUUCUUCAAAACGAUUAUCGGCUGGGCUGAAACUGGACUCCAGAUCUGUCGCCAAUGUUAAAAUAUGCUGACUCUGUUGAUCCAUCGAAGGAAUCUCAACUACCUUCCCAUAGAAUAUAACUUGGAUUUGAAACCGGUGAAGACACAGACGACUAAGGAAAGAAAGAAGUUUCUUUUCGGAAAUGUACGGAGGGGUGGCUUGGAAAUCUCUGCUUAAGACAGUUUGAAGAUAUAGUCAAAAAGAUGUCGCUGAAACAGCCCCGAAACAGAGUGGAAUCUCAUGUUGAUUCGAAACUGUGAGCAUCUUUAUGCGUAAUAUUGUAGACAUGAUGUUGGACGGAAUUAAAUAAAAUAAACCUUGAACAAUCCUUCAACAUCUUAGUGAAGUUUGUUGGUAGAAAGCCAACAUUUCAUGGAAAGUUCCAGAAUUAGCGAUUCUAAUCGAAAGCAUGAUUCCAAUAUAUGUGGAAAUAUAAGCCGACUGGAGGACCAACACUUCUCACUACAAUCCUGAACGAAUUCGGAGUGGAGCACGAUUUAACAAAACAGUGUGUAAGAAAAACCUUGAAGGACGUCUUAUUAUACAACUAGAUUUAAAAGCUGAACAAGAGAGACAACACAACGCCUUACUAGCUUGGAGUAGCAAGUCAAAUCGUGAUUAUUAUUGAAUUAUUGUUUUUUUUUUCAACUAAUAUUAGCUAAUUCAUAAACUCUAAAUUUAUAGUACGGUCGCCUAAGGUUAUUUAUAUAACAGGCAAUAUCAUGUCAUCCUGUCACAUAAACGGGCAAAACACCCCAUUUUUAGAAUAAAUAUUCCUGCCAAUUAUUAAUGUGAAAAAGGGGUCGGGUCGUGUUGGAACCACGACGGCGAAUUUCGACGAUCACACAAUUCAUACAAAAGAUAUUUGCAAUCAAAAUAACCUAGCCUAUAAUUUUCAACCAAUAAAUAACAUUACUUGAUUUUUAUUUUAGAAGUCUCUCAACUGUCAAACCUAAAAGUACUAGUAUGUGUACAGGUUAUUCAUAAGCUAAAUAACAAAUUGUUAUCACACACUUUAUUUUGCUUUAUUACACAGGAAUACAAAAUGGUUUUGGGAUUCUAAUAGGUAUACUUUAUGUUUUUGGGUCGCUGGACACAAAUUCAUUCGCAGAAUGGAGCCAGCACGUCAGGAUUUGCAGUAAAAUUUAAAAAAUGGUUAAAAACCUGGAAUUUCUGCGUAAAUUACGUACGCAAACCUACCAACUCCAAAUUAUCAAACCUCAUACCUACAAAUUAACAAGCCCCAAAUCUUACAACCCCCAAACCCACAAGCUCCAUAUCAACAAUCCCCAAACUGGCGAAUAAAAUUUGGAGACUUGAGUUCAGUUAAUGUCAAUGUAUAAAAAGUUUUGAAGUCUGACUAAAUCUUCCACUUUGUUCAACUUCUUAUGAUACUAUUCAAAGUCCCCUCGCCUCUCACGAGGGGUUUGUGGGUAUGGGGUUUUUACGUUUGUAGAUAUAGAGCUUGUUUGUUUCUGGAUAUGGAGCUUGUGUAUAUAAAGUUUGUGGGUUUGUUGAUAUGGCGCUUGUUAGUUUGAAGCUUGUUAAUUGGGGGUCUGUAGGUUUGGGGACGAAAUUUAUGCAGAAAUUCCAGGUUUUUAAUAAUUUUUUUGAAUUUUACUGCAAAUCCUAACGUGCUGGUUCAAUUCUGCGUAUGGAUUCGUGUUCAGCGACCCCAAAAACAUAAAUUAUACCUAAUUGAAUUCCAGUCGGCUCCCGCAAACAUAUUGUGGUCCUGUGUUAUUGUUCAUGAUUCAGGUCCUAGUUUCACCUCUCGCCUCCUUAUCUUAAGUAACAUCCCGUCGAUUACUAAUCGGUCACAUGUCAAGUCCAGUAUGAAAAAAAUUAAUUCAAUUAAUUUUAACUUAUUAUUCAAAGUUUAUAACUCUUGACAUGUUGGUCAUCCGUAUUCAGAUUUUCAAGUUUUUACGGUUUCUAGCUUCACGCGACAUCUUCGUAAUAUUAAUUAUUCUAUUAUAAUGUUUCUCCCGGUAAGUUGUUAAGGUUCUAUCAUAUGUGUUCAGUAUUAAGUAAAGCACGAAUUUCGAAUAAUGAUUGGUCGUGAAAUAGGUU
This is a long non-coding RNA of Belonocnema kinseyi, 2702 nucleotides long. RefSeq lists it as uncharacterized. NCBI's taxonomy places the organism in Eukaryota, Metazoa, Arthropoda, Insecta, Hymenoptera, Cynipidae. The record is from RefSeq and is a predicted model, not a curated record. The transcript has 3 exons.